RNAcentral lists this ribosomal RNA (492 nucleotides) under uncultured bacterium. Its description in RNAcentral is "partial 16S ribosomal RNA". It matches the Rfam family "Bacterial small subunit ribosomal RNA", at positions 29 to 507 of the family's 1533-position model. The record is from RNAcentral.
AGUGAACGCUGGCGGUAGGCCUAACACAUGCACUUCGAACGGCAGCACAGUAAGUGCUUUCUCUUACUGGUGGCUAGUGGCGUACGGUUGAGGAAUACAUCGGAAUCUACUUUUUCGUGGGGGAUAACGUAGGGUAACUUACGCUAAUACCGCAUACGACCUUCGGGUGAAGGCAGUGGAUCUUCGUACCUUGCGCGAUUGAAUGAGCCGAUGUCGGAUUAGCUAGUUGGCGGGGUAAAGGCCCACCUAGGCGACGAUCCGUAGCUGGUGUGAGAGGAUGACAAGCCACACGAGAACUGAGACACGGUCCAGACGCAUACGGGAGGCAGCAGUGGGGAAUAUUGGACAAUGGGCGCAAGCAUGAUCCAGCCAGACCGCGUGGGUGAAGAAGGACUUCGGGUUGUAAAGCCCAUUUGUUGGGAAAGAAAAGCAGAAGGUUAAUACCCCGCUGUUCUGACGGUACCCAAAGAAUAAGCACCGGCUAAAUUCGUG